AACGAACGCUGACGGCGUGCUUAACACAUGCAAGUCGCACGAGAAAAUUUCGCUUCGGUGGAAUGAGUAAAGUGGCGCACGGGUGAGUAACGCGUGGGCAAUCUGCCUCCAAAUCGGGGAUAACCCCGCGAAAGCGGGGCUAAUACCGGAUGACAUCCCUUGUUCCUAGGAACGUUGGAUCAAAGGUGGCCUCUACACGUAAGCUGCCGUUUGGAGAUGAGCUCGCGUACCAUUAGCUUGUUGGUAGGGUAACGGCCUACCAAGGCGACGAUGGUUAGCUGGUCUGAGAGGAUGAUCAGCCACACUGGAACUGACACACGGUCCAGACUCCUACGGGAGGCAG
RNAcentral lists this ribosomal RNA (343 nucleotides) under uncultured Pseudomonadota bacterium. RNAcentral describes it as "bacterial SSU rRNA". It matches the Rfam family "Bacterial small subunit ribosomal RNA", at positions 29 to 351 of the family's 1533-position model. The record is from RNAcentral. Lineage: Bacteria; Pseudomonadati; Pseudomonadota.